GGCACCCAACUUGUGGACAAAGACAGGAGCAAAAAAAAAUCCUCUUUUCUAACCCAGAAUUCAUUGUUCAGUAUAAGUUUUGAUACAUAUAAGAAGGAAUAUG
This is a small nucleolar RNA of Otolemur garnettii (small-eared galago), 103 nucleotides long. NCBI's taxonomy places the organism in Eukaryota, Metazoa, Chordata, Mammalia, Primates, Galagidae. The record is from Ensembl.